Ahaetulla prasina is the source of this 1174-nucleotide long non-coding RNA. RefSeq lists it as uncharacterized. The transcript is spliced from 3 exons. The record is from RefSeq and is a predicted model, not a curated record. NCBI's taxonomy places the organism in Eukaryota, Metazoa, Chordata, Lepidosauria, Squamata, Colubridae.
GUUCCUGGACCCAGACUCCUGGACUCGGAUGAUUCAGAAAAUGAGGGAGAAGACCUGGCAAGCCCUGCUUCUCUUGAGCCCUCUCCCUCCCUGGCACCCACUCAAAGGGAGGGGCCGGCAAGGCCUGAUUCUCCCGGGCCUUCUUCUGAUUUGGCAACGCCCCAAGAACAGUUUUGGAGGGACGCAAGAUUACGAAGGCUUGAUCGACGUGCGCAGCAGCGGAAGAGUUGGGACAAAGCCAAGUCAUAAUUGUCAUGCAGUGACAUCUGCAGAGACUAUAAAUAGGAGGCGGGACUUCCUGGUUUUUUGUCUCGGACAAAGCAAUGAAUUUGGCGCAAGCUAAUUCAUGGAGGGAAGAAUAUAUUCAUCUGAAUACUCCUAUAAUUUGACAUCGUAUUUCCAGGUGUAUGUAAACCAGUGGUGGGUUUCUACCAGUUCAGACGAACUGGUAGCGGCACUGGCGGGAGGCCCCACCCACCCACCUGGAUGUCAUCACGGACGCCCUGCGCAUGCGCAGAAGUGCCAGGCACACGCUCACAGUUCCAAACCAGUAGCGAAGCAGGGAAUAUCUUGGGAAGCAACCUGACUUUUCAAGCACCGCAGAACUGAAGAGGAAAACGGCAGCCCCAUUGAUCCGCCAGUAAUGGGAAACACAUCGAUAAAAGCGUUUUCUGCCUCCCUUGCCAAUAAGGAACAUUAACUGAAUUGUUACACCUCAUCUUUUUGAUGCUGCCUUCUCCUCUCAGUGCAAGGAGGCUGUUAAAACCAGGGCAUCCUUGUCUGUCCUUGUUGUUAAGACUCGCGCAUGGAAGCACAUGUCAAAAGGACCAUAUUACUCUCGGUCGUUUUAAGGCAGUUGCUGAGGGAGUUUCUUUUGAUUAGCAUGUUCAAUCCAUUUUUGGUGGUCUGGUAACACUCUUAACCCUGCAACUUGACUCAAGCCAUUUUCACAAGAAGCGAUUUGCAGCAUCUUAUAGCAUGAUCAUGUCAUUAUCAAGCAGGCCUCAAACCCAUCCUCAUUAGUAAUGACGGUUAGAAACUAGAAAAUGCUCUACAUCGUUAAGAUGGGAUCACAUCUUCUUAAGUCCUAUAGUGAAGAAUUAGAAUAACAGAAUAACGGAGUUGGAAGAGACCUUAGAGAUCUUCUAGUCCAAGGGUCUCCAACCUUGGCAAC